GAUUUGCGCCGCUUCUUACUUUCUCAAACGAUUGAUUUGGGGUUCGUCAAAGGGUUGUUUGGGUUGCGAUUUGUUUCAUUGGGUGCUGAAACCUAUGGGUGAUUUUCUUCUGUCGUGAUCUCCAAAUUGAUUUCUCAGUCGUUGCUUCCGCAUUUGGUGAUUCGCUCACCGCCAAUCAGGUUUCCGUGCCGAUCGGGCUCAAUAGGUUUCCUCAGUUCUACUGUAUCUCCAUUGCUGAUCUUCGCCAUCCCGUUUGUAUGUAAGACAGUGCAGAAUUAUCGGUAUCUACAUCAAAGCAAGACCAAAGCUUCUGCCAGUAUCAUCCUGCCAUUUUCAUUAGCAUACAUGUAUGCUUAUAUUCCAACAUUCAGGCGGUUCAGAUACUCAAUGGAGUGAUAAGGUUCCUAACUCUAGCCAAGCUUCUUAGACUAUUUUUGUCUUACAUAGGUUUUUCGUGCCAGUAUCCCUUCACCUGUGCCUCACUGACUUAAGGUAUUGCCUCUCAAUUACAAUGUUGAUGUUUGAGUUUUUAUACACUUGGUGUUAGGCUACAAAUUGUGUGAUAGUUCAUUGGAUAGUUUGUCUCCUUCUCAUUUACUAACUCGGCAAAUGGGGUGAUUGCAAUUUGAGUUUGUUUAGGUCUCUAGGUUUGUUUGUGUUUCGUUCGUUGCAUUGUUCCUGUCAUGAUUUGGGGUCAGUUUGGUUUUAUUGUUUACUGAUUGUGGUCAUUGGGUUAAUUGUAAUGAUAAAGAGCACUAAUAAAAUUGUAAGUGUGGACAUUACAAAUAAAGACCGCUAAUAAAAAAUCCUUUUCCUCAAUUGUAACUUAUGAAUUUGCAUACGAGUAUUCUUUGAUGUAUGGUCGAAUGGUCACACAUGCCUAUAUGUAAACCAAACAGCAUUUGUCAAAGUGAAAAUAGCUUUUGGAGGAACUGUAAUAGGAUUUGUAGUCAAUUGUGGAUUGUGAUUGGGUAUAUAUAUGAUAGGGUUUAUACACAUUACACAGCUAGGCCAUAAAUGGUUUUAGGCUGCAUUUGUGUACAUUAAGGUCUCUAAAGGUGUGUGGACUCAUUCGUA
Molecule: RNA transcript, 1077 nt
Organism: Fragaria vesca subsp. vesca
Lineage: Eukaryota; Viridiplantae; Streptophyta; Magnoliopsida; Rosales; Rosaceae
Exons: 4
Source: RefSeq, a predicted model, not a curated record